This 490-nucleotide ribosomal RNA is filed under the name uncultured bacterium. Its description in RNAcentral is "partial 16S ribosomal RNA". It matches the Rfam family "Bacterial small subunit ribosomal RNA", at positions 30 to 507 of the family's 1533-position model. The record is from RNAcentral.
AUUGAACGCUGGCGGCAGGCCUAACACAUGCAAGUCGAACGGUAACAGGAAGCAGCUUGCUGCUUCGCUGACGAGUGGCGGACGGGUGAGUAAUGUCUGGGAAGCUGCCUGAUGGAGGGGGAUAACUACUGGAAACGGUAGCUAAUACCGCAUAAUGUCGCAAGACCAAAGAGGGGGACCUUCGGGCCUCUUGCCAUCGGAUGUGCCCAGAUGGGAUUAGCUUGUUGGUGGGGUAACGGCUCACCAAGGCGACGAUCCCUAGCUGGUCUGAGAGGAUGACCAGCCACACUGGAACUGAGACACGGUCCAGACUCCUACGGGAGGCAGCGGUGGGGAAUAUUGCACAAUGGGCGCAAGCCUGAUGCAGCCAUGCCGCGUGUAUGAAGAAGGCCUUCGGGUUGUAAAGUACUUUCAGCGGGGAGGAAGGGAGUAAAGUUAAUACCUUUGCUCAUUGACGUUACCCGCAGAAGAAGCACCGGCUAACUCCGUG